RNAcentral lists this transfer RNA (76 nucleotides) under Stutzerimonas stutzeri. Its description in RNAcentral is "Pseudomonas stutzeri tRNA-Thr". It matches the Rfam family "tRNA". From Rfam's summary of the family: Transfer RNA (tRNA) molecules are approximately 80 nucleotides in length. Lineage: Bacteria; Pseudomonadati; Pseudomonadota; Gammaproteobacteria; Pseudomonadales; Pseudomonadaceae. The record is from RNAcentral.
GCCGGUGUAGCUCAGUAGGUAGAGCAGCGCAUUCGUAAUGCGAAGGUCGCAGGUUCGACUCCUGUCUCCGGCACUA